Molecule: unclassified non-coding RNA, 352 nt
Filed under: soil metagenome
Description: partial contains 5.8S ribosomal RNA, internal transcribed spacer 2, and large subunit ribosomal RNA
Rfam family: 5.8S ribosomal RNA (bases 1-120)
Source: RNAcentral
GAUGAAGAACGCAGCGAAAUGCGAUAAGUAAUGUGAAUUGCAGAAUUCAGUGAAUCAUCGAAUCUUUGAACGCACAUUGCGCCCGCCAGUAUUCUGGCGGGCAUGCCUGUUCGAGCGUUAUUACAACCCUCAGGCCCCCGGGCCUGGCGUUGGGGAUCGGCGGAGCCCCCCGUGGGCACACGCCGUCCCCCAAAUACAGUGGCGGUCCCGCCGCAGCUUCCAUCGCGUAGUAGCUAACACCUCGCGACUGGAGAGCGGCGCGGCCACGCCGUAAAACACCCAACUCUUCUGAAGUUGACCUCGAAUCAGGUAGGAAUACCCGCUGAACUUAAGCAUAUCAAUAAGCGGAGGA